GGGGAUGUAGCUCAGAUGGUAGAGCGCUCGCUUAGCAUGCGAGAGGUAAAGGGAUCGAUACCCUUCUUCUCCA
Transfer RNA from Dictyostelium discoideum AX4, 73 nucleotides. It matches the Rfam family "tRNA". From Rfam's summary of the family: Transfer RNA (tRNA) molecules are approximately 80 nucleotides in length. Their secondary structure includes four short double-helical elements and three loops (D, anti-codon, and T loops). NCBI's taxonomy places the organism in Eukaryota, Evosea, Eumycetozoa, Dictyosteliales, Dictyosteliaceae. The record is from Rfam.